GGCUCUUUGUUUUAAUUUUAUAAAGAGUCCGACCUGCCCAAUGAUAGAUAUUAAAUGGCCGCAGAACCCUAACUGUGCAAAGGUAGCAUAAUCACUUGCCCUAUAAUUGAGGGCUAGAAUGAAUGGUUUGACAAGAACAAGACUGUCUUAAAAAGAUUACCUAUAAAUUAAUUUAUAGGUGAAGAAGCCUAUAUAUAACUAAAAGACGAGAAGACCCUAUCGAGCUUUAAAAUCUAACUAGGUUAACUAUAUAAUUUUUUGAUUGGGGCGAUCAAGGAACAAAUAAAGCUUCCUAUAAUUUUAAAAUUAUAAAUAAUGAUCCAAUAAAAUUGAUUAAAAGAUAAGCUACCGUAGGGAUAACAGCGUAAUCUUCUUUAAGAGUCCAUAUUAAAAAGAAGCUUUGCGACCUCGAUGUUGGACUAAAAUAUCCUAAAGAUGCAGAAGUCUUUAAAGGUUGGUCUGUUCGACCAUUAAAAUUUU
RNAcentral lists this ribosomal RNA (480 nucleotides) under Merelina tokunagai. RNAcentral's name for it is "partial 16S rRNA". It matches the Rfam family "Bacterial large subunit ribosomal RNA", at positions 1817 to 2597 of the family's 2925-position model. Lineage: Eukaryota; Metazoa; Mollusca; Gastropoda; Littorinimorpha; Rissoidae. The record is from RNAcentral.